AUGGUAGUUGAAGUCAUGAAUGCACGCAUUGCUGAUCAUGAAAAGAAGGUAUGCAGGAAGUUAAUGGAAAUUGAGCACAGAUUUGAUGUCAAAUACCAGACUCUAGGUGAAGACUUGAUCGACAUGAAGACUAAAACUGGCACUAAUCCUAGGUUGUCGAAGGCCGAUGACGAAAUUAAAGACUUAAGGAGGGAACUCCAUGUAUGUCAUACUGUGCAUUUUGUAUUUUUUAUGAAUAUGUUCCUUCAUGAUCAAGUCAAUGUGUGCAAUUCAUCCCUGACAGGAACUCCUAGGGCUAGCCAAUUCAUGACAGGGACUUCGAGUACACCAAGUGCAAGACAUGUGACGGAAAACAAAGAGGAACCACAAUUAACUCCGAUGAAGCAUGUCUUUGGUAAUGAUUACAAGUUCACGGAUGAGGACAUAGAGACAGCCGUUUACAUCCGCGGAACAUAUGACCCUGUUGAAAGAGCUAGAAUCGGAGACAUUUCCCUCACAGCAGAAAAUCUGAAGCGAAAUUUGGACGACAAAUACAUUUAUGGUGAUGUUAUUAUGGCAUAUGCUCGCAUUAGCCAAAUUGAGAAUGAUACUACCUCAAUCAUAACCCCUCAAGAAACCGAAAAGCUGUUACAAAUGAAGGGGGUGGUUUCUGUUGGACGUGCAACCUCAUGGUUAGCUCGUGUAGCAGGAAAAUUUGUAGGGCGCUGA
This 708-nucleotide ribosomal RNA is filed under the name Triticum aestivum (bread wheat). Its description in RNAcentral is "partial small subunit ribosomal RNA". The record is from RNAcentral. Lineage: Eukaryota; Viridiplantae; Streptophyta; Magnoliopsida; Poales; Poaceae.